This is a long non-coding RNA of Cicer arietinum (chickpea), 569 nucleotides long. RefSeq lists it as uncharacterized. The record is from RefSeq and is a predicted model, not a curated record. NCBI's taxonomy places the organism in Eukaryota, Viridiplantae, Streptophyta, Magnoliopsida, Fabales, Fabaceae.
UUUGAUUAAAUAUUCAAGCAUGUAUAUUUUAAAAUAAAAGGCAAUGAUCAAACUAAAAAAAAAAGGUUAGACCACAAAAAACGUAAAUGGGCUGCGCUGCAAAUAACUGUGGCCCAAUACCUUCAGAAAAGUGAUUUGUAAAACAAACCCUAAAUUGAAACAAGGCAAAGGCAAAAACCAGAGCGGCGGCUAGGCAAUGAGGGUCGCAGAUCAAAAGAGAAAAAACAGAGCCAUGCGAACUUCACCAUCAAGACCGUAAAUAAGAACGGCGUUGGAGUGAGGCCGCUGGAUUAGGUCGUUGAGGAAAAAGGGGAGUCAGACGAACGGAGUGACCAGGAAACACGGUCAGCAUUCCGACGACGGCGUUCAAGAUAAUAGUCAAGCAGAUAAAAGGAUGUAGAAUAGAAGAUGAAGGUGAAGUUGAGUGUUGGCAGGGUGGAAUGGAUUGGUGUAUUGGGUACUGAUGUGUUGCCAUGCCAAAUCAAAAACAUUGUUUUUAUUGUAAUUCAAUUCUUUUAUUUUAUGUAAAAUAAAGAUGUUUAGUAUUGUAAAAUAUAUUAUUAUUGUUA